UUAUAAAGUAAGCUAAAUAAGCUUAUGGGUUCAUACCCCAUCUAUGAUUUAUCCUUUAUUAA
Molecule: transfer RNA, 62 nt
Filed under: Chiropterargas confusus
Lineage: Eukaryota; Metazoa; Arthropoda; Arachnida; Ixodida; Argasidae
Description: Argas confusus tRNA-Met
Source: RNAcentral